Molecule: long non-coding RNA, 325 nt
Organism: Chinchilla lanigera (long-tailed chinchilla)
Lineage: Eukaryota; Metazoa; Chordata; Mammalia; Rodentia; Chinchillidae
Exons: 2
Source: RefSeq, a predicted model, not a curated record
CAGGAGAGAGAAAGGAAGGGUCCGGGGGAAUGGGUGAAGACCUGGAGGUAGGGAAGUCUUGCUGCUAUCCUUUCUACUGAACGCUUCAACAUUCCAGGUGGAAGCAGCGGUGGCAAAAAUAUUAACUAUCAGUUCUGGGCGACAGAAGAGACCCCAGGUUCCCCAAGGAGAGCCGGGUCUCGCUAUGUAGUUCAGACUGGCCUUGAAGUCCCGAGGAUUCCCCUGCCUCGGCCUCCGGAGUGCUGGGAUUGUAGGCAUACACCUCCACGCCUGGCCUCUGUGCAUUUCUGAAGUCAUAAACACCCUUUCUUUGUGUGUUCUCUGA